RNAcentral lists this unclassified non-coding RNA (755 nucleotides) under Acromyrmex echinatior (Panamanian leafcutter ant). RNAcentral describes it as "uncharacterized LOC105152045, transcript variant X2". Lineage: Eukaryota; Metazoa; Arthropoda; Insecta; Hymenoptera; Formicidae. The record is from RNAcentral.
GAUCUCCUUCACUGCGGAAGAAAAGAUGAAUACUCCGAUCGGGAAUACUAGUUUCGACUAUCGCUACGUUAGCGUCAAAGACACGAUUGUGAAGAGACCUGUGCAACGCUGCAAUGCCACAAAGCAACGUCAAAAGCCACAAAGAGAAUCCUUUGAAAAUAUCAAAUACUUUUCGCAGACCACGAGCUAUUUCACCAACCAAGUGAAGUUGAUAGUUGGAGUAAGAAAGAUUUCUUUCCAAGAAAAACAGCUUAUUAGAUGGGCUUCUCUACGUCAAUAAGAGAACAUCGCUUCAAUAAUUGUCAAGAAUUUUCCAGGGAAAAGCACGGAUUGCCGGCGUCUAGCCGGCCAGUUAUCCCACGACGACGUCAGGAAAAACGAUGACCGGAAGGCGAGAGAGGUCAGCCGGGGUUCACGCGAGUUCGACGGCCGGUCGAUUCCGGAAAUCGGAAGGGAUGACGCCGUAGAUACGACUCCUUUAUCUUGGAACCAAGUAUGACGUGCAGAGUCUUUCUUGGAAAACUUUGCGUUUCGCCUUGACAUCCAUUCGUUGACUUCGAGGAAAUUUCGAGCGGAAAAUCGAUCACGCGACAAAGCGGUAUUGAGCCUUGACCGCGCACGAACCAUAUUUGGUUUCAUGAAAGAAUGGCGAAUGAAAAAAUAAAUGGGAAUGAAAUAAAGAACAAAUAGAUAAUAAAUGAAUGAAAAAAAAAAACACAAAUGGAGAACAAAUGAGGAAGAAAUGAGGAAUAAAA